Molecule: unclassified non-coding RNA, 349 nt
Filed under: soil metagenome
Description: partial contains 5.8S ribosomal RNA, internal transcribed spacer 2, and large subunit ribosomal RNA
Rfam family: 5.8S ribosomal RNA (bases 1-120)
Source: RNAcentral
GAUGAAGAACGUAGCGAAAUGCGAUACGUAAUGUGAAUUGCAGAAUUCAGUGAAUCAUCGAGUCUUUGAACGCACAUUGCGCCCCCUGGUAUUCCGGGGGGCAUGCCUGUCCGAGCGUCAUUGCUGCCCUCAAGCACGGCUUGUGUGUUGGGCAUCCGCCCCCCGGCUCCCGGGGGGCGGGCCCGAAAGGCAGCGGCGGCACCGCGUCCGGUCCUCGAGCGUAUGGGGCUUCGUCACCCGCUCCGUAGGCCCGGCCGGCGCCCGCCGGCGACCCCCCUCAAUCUUUCCAGGUUGACCUCGGAUCAGGUAGGGAUACCCGCUGAACUUAAGCAUAUCAAUAAGCGGAGGA